RNAcentral lists this non-coding RNA (29 nucleotides) under Rattus norvegicus (Norway rat). The record is from RNAcentral. Lineage: Eukaryota; Metazoa; Chordata; Mammalia; Rodentia; Muridae.
UCUCAUUACACAAAAAUGUCUCAAUGUUC